UCAUAUACAUCUUCGUGUAGAAAGUCUUAGAAUGUUUACUAUCAGAGAGUCGCGACUUCUAGGAGACGCGAAACUCUGAGAUAAAAAGUUAUUACAACUUUCAGCAAUGGAUCUCUUGGCUCUCGCAUCGAUGAAGAACGCAGCGAAAAGCGAUAUGUAAUGUGAAUUGCAGAUCUACAGUGAAUCAUCGAAUCUUUGAACGCACCUUGCGCUCCUCGGUGUUCCGAGGAGCAUGCCUGUUUGAGUGUCAGUAAAUUCUCAACCCUUCUUGAUUGAGGGAGUUUGGAUAGUGGGGGUUGCUGGAGACUUUUAUUAGACUCGAGCUCUCCUGAAAUGCAUCGGCUUGCGGUCGACUUUCGACUUUGCGCGACAAGGCUUUCGGCGUGAUAAUGAUCGCCGUUCGCUGAAGCGCAUGACUGAAGGUUUCGCGCCUCUAAUACGUCGACUCUUAUUAUCUCUUCGGAGAGAAAAGGUCUUCUUUAUUGACUUUUGACCUCAAAUCAGGUAGGACUACCCGCUGAACUUAA
This 527-nucleotide ribosomal RNA is filed under the name uncultured Rhizopogon. Its description in RNAcentral is "eukaryotic LSU rRNA". The stretch from base 96 to 250 matches the Rfam family "5.8S ribosomal RNA". Lineage: Eukaryota; Fungi; Basidiomycota; Agaricomycetes; Boletales; Rhizopogonaceae. The record is from RNAcentral.